RNAcentral lists this RNase P RNA (395 nucleotides) under Cellulomonas fimi. Its description in RNAcentral is "RNase P RNA component class A". It matches the Rfam family "Bacterial RNase P class A". Rfam says of the family: Ribonuclease P (RNase P) is a ubiquitous endoribonuclease, found in archaea, bacteria and eukarya as well as chloroplasts and mitochondria. The record is from RNAcentral. RNAcentral also lists the same sequence under 2 other names. Lineage: Bacteria; Bacillati; Actinomycetota; Actinomycetes; Micrococcales; Cellulomonadaceae.
UGAGUCAGUCAGGCGACCGCGUCAGGCCCUCGGGCCUGCCGAGGAACGUCCGGGCUCCGCAGGGCAGGGUGGUGGGUAACGCCCACCCGGGGUGACCCGCGGGACAGUGCCACAGAGAACAGACCGCCGGCACCGCGUCGUGGAGACACGCACGCGGGCGCCGGUCAGGGUGAAACGGUGGUGUAAGAGACCACCAGCGCACCGGGUGACCGGUGCGGCUCGGUAAACCCCACCCGGAGCAAGGUCAGACAGGGAGCGUUCGAGGGCGGCCCGCCCGAGCUCCCGGGUAGACCGCUGGAGGCGUGCGGCAACGUACGUCGUAGAGGGAUGGUCGCCACCCGUGCCGGGGCAACCGGGCACGGGGACAGAACCCGGCGUAUCGACUGACUCAUCCG